ACAUCCUACCCGGCAGGCCUCUUCAUUCGUUGCCGAGGUGCUUUGUUUGCCUUGGGCGAAGCAUGUGUUUCCUGUGCUGUGUACCUAAUCGAAAGGCAUUCGGAGGUCCCAUUGUCUCUUGUUUGCCUCGCGGUGCCCCAUUUUGGCCGUGGCUUGGGGUGAACCUCAGUGCUUUUUCCGUGUGUCGUGUUGGACACCUUGUGCCGCACAUGUCCCACAGAGAUUUGCUUGAACUCUCGAAUGCAGAACGCUUUCCGGGUACGAGGGGUCUACGGCCUCAUUUUGCCCAAACAAGCGUUCGUCGCUUAUUAGCGCACGACGGCUUACCCGUUGUGAGUGCCCGUUCCUUGGUUCGGCCCGCUCGCGGGGUGUGCCAGCGUCGUGGAGGAAUGCU
This 394-nucleotide unclassified non-coding RNA is filed under the name Aspidosperma excelsum. RNAcentral describes it as "partial external transcribed spacer". The record is from RNAcentral. Lineage: Eukaryota; Viridiplantae; Streptophyta; Magnoliopsida; Gentianales; Apocynaceae.